UCGGGAAUUUUGGGCAAUGGGGGAAACCCUGACCCAGCAACGCCGCGUGAAGGAUGAAGUAUUUCGGUAUGUAAACUUCGAAAGAAUAGGAAGAAUAAAUGACGGUACUAUUUAUAAGGUCCGGCUAACUACGUGCCAGCAGCCGCGGUAAUACGUAGGGACCAAGCGUUGUUCGGAUUUACUGGGCGUAAAGGGCGCGUAGGCGGCAUGACAAGUCACUUGUGAAAUCUCUGGGCUUAACCCAGAACGGCCAAGUGAUACUGUCGCGCUAGAGUGCAGAAGGGGCAAUCGGAAUUCUUGGUGUAGCGGUGAAAUGCGUAGAUAUCAAGAGGAACACCUGAGGUGAAGACGGGUUGCUGGGCUGACACUGACGCUCAUGCACGAAAGCGUGGGGAGCAAACAGGAUUAGAUACCCACGUAGUCCCUGAGCGGGCUGGCAAGGCGCAU
This 447-nucleotide ribosomal RNA is filed under the name uncultured bacterium. RNAcentral's name for it is "bacterial SSU rRNA". It matches the Rfam family "Bacterial small subunit ribosomal RNA", at positions 355 to 825 of the family's 1533-position model. The record is from RNAcentral.